Molecule: ribosomal RNA, 459 nt
Filed under: uncultured bacterium
Lineage: Bacteria
Description: partial 16S ribosomal RNA
Rfam family: Bacterial small subunit ribosomal RNA
Source: RNAcentral
CCUACGGGUGGCUGCAGUGAGGAAUAUUGGUCAAUGGCCGGAAGGCUGAACCAGCCAAGCCGCGUGAAGGACGAAGGUGCCAAGCAUUGUAAACUUCUUUUGUCAAGGGACAAAAUCAGGCUCGAGAGCAUGACUGAGGGUACUUGAAGAAAAAGCAUCGGCUAACUCCGUGCCAGCAGCCGCGGUAAUACGGAGGAUGCGAGCGUUAUCCGGAUUUAUUGGGUUUAAAGGGUGCGUAGGCGGACUGUUAAGUCAGCGGUAAAAGCUGGGGGCUCAACCCGGGCGAGCCGUGGGAACUGGGUGUCUUGAGAUGUCGGGAGGUAUGCGGAAUGCGCGGUGUAGCGGUGAAAUGCUUAGAUAUUGCGCAGAACUCCGAUUGCGAAGGCAGCAUACCGGCGGCGAUCUGACGCUGAGGCACGAAAGCGUGGGUAUCGAACAGGAUUAGAUACCCGGGUAGUC